CCCCUCUUAGAGUCACACCUGGGGAGUUUCCAGGACUCUAUCAGUCUCGGCUACAGGAGGGAGAGUCAAGCAGAGACAUACCCAUUCCAUUCCUAGCUUGGCCAGUGGCUAGCGAGUGGAAGGCAAUCAGCUACAAGU
This 138-nucleotide small nucleolar RNA is filed under the name Ornithorhynchus anatinus (platypus). Lineage: Eukaryota; Metazoa; Chordata; Mammalia; Monotremata; Ornithorhynchidae. The record is from RNAcentral.